AGAGUUUGAUCCUGGCUCAGAGCGAACGCUGGCGGCAGGCCUAAAACAUCCAAGUCGAGCGCCGUAGCAAUACGGAGCGGCAGACGGGUGAGUAACACGUGGGAACGUACCCUUUGGUUCGGAACAACCCAGGGAAACUUGGGCUAAUACCGGAUAAGUCCGCAAGGAGAAAGAUUUAUCGCCGAAGGAUCGGCCCGCGUCUGAUUAGCUUGUUGGUGAGGUAACGGCUCACCAAGGCGACGAUCAGUAGCUGGUCUGAGAGGAUGAUCAGCCACACUGGGACUGAGACACGGCCCAGACUCCUACGGGAGGCAGCAGUUAGGAAUCUUGGACAAUGGGCGCAAGCCUGAUCCAGCCAUGCCGCGUGAGUGAUGAAGGCCCUAGGGUUGUAAAGCUCUUUCAGCGGGGAAGAUAAUGACGGUACCCGCAGAAGAAGCCCCGGCUAACUUCGUGCCAGCAGCCGCGGUAAUACGAAGGGGGCUAGCGUUGCUCGGAAUCACUGGGCGUAAAGCGCACGUAGGCGGCUUUUUAAGUCAGGGGUGAAAUCCUGGAGCUCAACUCCAGAACUGCCUUUGAUACUGAGAAGCUAGAGUCCGGGAGAGGUGAGUGGAACUGCGAGUGUAGAGGUGAAAUUCGUAGAUAUUCGCAAGAACACCAGUGGCGAAAGCGGCUCACUGCCCCGGUACUGACGCUGAGUGCGAAAGCGUGGGGAGCAAACAGGAUUAGAUACCCUGGUAGUCCACGCCGUAAACGAUGGAUGCUAGCCGUUGGUGGGUUUACCCUUCAGUGGCGCAGCUAACGCAUUAAGCAUCCCGCCUGGGGAGUACGGUCGCAAGAUUAAAACUCAAGGAAUUGACGG
Molecule: ribosomal RNA, 859 nt
Filed under: uncultured bacterium
Lineage: Bacteria
Description: bacterial SSU rRNA
Rfam family: Bacterial small subunit ribosomal RNA
Source: RNAcentral